Molecule: ribosomal RNA, 526 nt
Filed under: uncultured bacterium
Lineage: Bacteria
Description: bacterial SSU rRNA
Rfam family: Bacterial small subunit ribosomal RNA
Source: RNAcentral
UAGUCCCGGCCGUAAACGUUGUAGACUCGGUGUGGGGGAUUUGACCCCCUCCGUGCCUAAGCUAACGCGUUAAGUCUACCGCCUGGGGAGUACGGCGGCAACGCUAAAACUCAAAGGAAUUGACGGGGGCCCGCACAAGCGGUGGAGCAUGUGGCUUAAUUCGAGGCAACGCGAAGAACCUUACCUGGGCUUGACAUAUACUGGACCGCCUCUGAAAGGAGGCUUUUCUUCGGAACUGGUAUACAGGUGCUGCAUGGCUGUCAUCAGCUCGUGCCGUGAGGUGUUCGGUUAAGUCCGGCAACGAGCGCAACCCGUGUCAUUAGUUGCCAGCAAGUAAAGUUGGGGACUCUAAUGAGACUGCCCGUGUUAAGCGGGAGGAAGGCGCGGACGACGUCAAGUCAGCAUGGCCCUUACGCCCAGGGCUGCACACGUGCUACAAUGGCCGGUCCAAUAGGAAGCAAUACUGCGAGGUGGAGCUAAUCCCCAAAACCGGUCUCAGUUCGGAUAGUAGUCUGCAACUCGACUA